This 468-nucleotide ribosomal RNA is filed under the name uncultured bacterium. RNAcentral describes it as "partial 16S ribosomal RNA". It matches the Rfam family "Bacterial small subunit ribosomal RNA", at positions 28 to 507 of the family's 1533-position model. The record is from RNAcentral.
GACGAACGCUGGCGGCGUGCUUAACACAUGCAAGUCGAACGGAAAGGCCCUGCUUUUGUGGGGUGCUCGAGUGGCGAACGGGUGAGUAACACGUGAGUAACCUGCCCUUGACUUUGGGAUAACUUCAGGAAACUGGGGCUAAUACCGGAUAGGAGCUCCUGCUGCAUGGUGGGGGUUGGAAAGUUUCGGCGGUUGGGGAUGGACUCGCGGCUUAUCAGCUUGUUGGUGGGGUAGUGGCUUACCAAGGCUUUGACGGGUAGCCGGCCUGAGAGGGUGACCGGCCACAUUGGGACUGAGAUACGGCCCAGACGCCUACGGGAGGCAGCAGUGGGGAAUAUUGCACAAUGGGCGGAAGCCUGAUGCAGAAACGCCGCGUGCGGGAUGACGGCCUUCGGGUUGUAAACCGCUUUCGCCUGUGACGAAGAGUGAGUGACGGUAAUGGGUAAAGAAGCACCGGCUAACUACGUG